RNAcentral lists this ribosomal RNA (1379 nucleotides) under marine metagenome. RNAcentral describes it as "bacterial LSU rRNA". It matches the Rfam family "Bacterial large subunit ribosomal RNA", at positions 1103 to 2466 of the family's 2925-position model. The record is from RNAcentral.
GGCUUAGAAGCAGCCAUCCUUUAAAGAAAGCGUAAUAGCUCACUGGUCGAGUCGGCCUGCGCGGAAGAUGUAACGGGGCUAAACCAUGCACCGAAGCUGCGGCAGCGAUACGCAAGUAUUGUUGGGUAGGGGAGCGUUCUGUAAGCCGUUGAAGGUGUGCUGUGAGGCAUGCUGGAGGUAUCAGAAGUGCGAAUGCUGACAUAAGUAACGAUAAAGCGGGUGAAAAACCCGCUCGCCGGAAGACCAAGGGUUCCUGUCCAACGUUAAUCGGGGCAGGGUGAGUCGACCCCUAAGGUGAGGCCGAAAGGCGUAAUCGAUGGAAAACAGAUUAAUAUUUCUGUACCUCUGCUAACUGCGAUGGAGAGACGGAGAAGGCUAGGCUAGCGCGGCGUUGGUAGUCCGCGUUUAAGGUAGUAGGCGGUGUUCUUAGGCAAAUCCGGGAACACAUUACGCUGAGAGCUGAUGACGAGUCACUAAGGUGAUGAAGUAGUUGAUGCCAUGCUUCCAGGAAAAUCUUCUAAGCUUCAGGUUAGUAGGGAUCGUACCCCAAACCGACACAGGUGGUCGGGUAGAGAAUACCAAGGCGCUUGAGAGAACUCGGGUGAAGGAACUAGGCAAAAUGGUACCGUAACUUCGGGAGAAGGUACGCCGGCUUUGGUGAUGGGACUUGCUCCCUAAGCUGAGGCUGGUCGAAGUGACCAGGUGGCUGCGACUGUUUAUUAAAAACAUAGCACUCUGCAAACACGAAAGUGGACGUAUAGGGUGUGAUGCCUGCCCGGUGCUGGAAGGUUAAUUGAUGGGGUUAGCGUAAGCGAAGCUCUUGAUCGAAGCCCCAGUAAACGGCGGCCGUAACUAUAACGGUCCUAAGGUAGCGAAAUUCCUUGUCGGGUAAGUUCCGACCUGCACGAAUGGCGUAACGACGGCCACACUGUCUCCACCCGAGACUCAGUGAAAUUGAAAUCGCUGUUAAGAUGCAGUGUAUCCGCGGCUAGACGGAAAGACCCCGUGAACCUUUACUAUAGCUUUGCACUGGACUUUGAAUUUGUUUGUGUAGGAUAGGUGGGAGGCUUUGAAGCGUGGACGCCAGUCUGCGUGGAGCCAACCUUGAAAUACCACCCUGGCAACUUUGAGGUUCUAACUCUGGUCCGUUAUCCGGAUCGAGGACAGUGUAUGGUGGGUAGUUUGACUGGGGCGGUCUCCUCCCAAAGAGUAACGGAGGAGUACGAAGGUGCGCUCAGACCGGUCGGAAAUCGGUCGUAGAGUAUAAAGGCAAAAGCGCGCUUGACUGCGAGACAGACACGUCGAGCAGGUACGAAAGUAGGUCUUAGUGAUCCGGUGGUUCUGUAUGGAAGGGCCAUCGCUCAACGGAUAAAAGGUAC